Long non-coding RNA from Camellia sinensis, 2515 nucleotides. RefSeq lists it as uncharacterized. NCBI's taxonomy places the organism in Eukaryota, Viridiplantae, Streptophyta, Magnoliopsida, Ericales, Theaceae. The record is from RefSeq and is a predicted model, not a curated record.
AACAUCAGGACGCACUCAAAUGUUUUUAACCGAAGAGCGAUAACCGAAGGAUGGUAUGAGCAUCAGGACGCACUCAAAUGUUUUUAACCAAAAGGACGAUAACCGAAGGAUGGUAUGAAGAUCAAGACACACUCAAAUGUUUUUAGCCGAAGGGAGUUAUCCUAACAUGUUGCACGCGAGAGGAAGGAAAGUAAAAGGAUAUGAUUUUAAGAGCACGAAUGAUUUUACCUAGAACUCCUCUGAAUGGACUGUACAUACAAUAUCGUGCCUGUGUACAAAAGCUUGCUAUGUAACGACAGUGCAUUUUCUAUGCAUGAAACCAGAAUGAAAGCAUAUUCUAUGCAACAAUAGAAAAGUGCAUAUUCUAUGCAAUAAUAAUGGAGAAGCGCAUAUUUUAUGCAUGUGUAACGAAUAGAAAAUGCAUAUUCUAUGCAAGACAAUAACUGAGAUAUAAUGGCAUGUUCUAUGCGAACUAAACAAUUUGAGAGCAUAUUCUAUGCAUGAUUGGUAACGGGAGCAUCUUCUACGAAUGAUUCAAGGACAAAUGCAUAUAUUCCAUGCAUGAUUCAAGAGCGAAAGCAAUAAGCAUGUUAUAUGCAUAAUGCAAGAGCGGAAGCACAUUCUAUGCAGCUAGAGUAAGAGCAUGUUCUAUGCGACAGUUUAAGUGGAAUGCACGUUCCAUGCAACAACAAAGAAACACAUAUUCUAUGCAACAACAAAAGAAUAGUCGUCAAAACCAAUUCAAGAACAACUUCCGAUUUACCUACCUCUCGGAAAAGUUGCAAUAUGUUCAAAAGGAUACACCUUACUUAUGUUAAUGAGUGACGAACAUCGUGCACUGGAAAUGCAGUUCUGAGCUUCCAUAGAGGCAUUCUGAACUCAAUAAUGAACAAUCCCUUCAAUUUUGAAAUCCAAGGACAGAAAACAGAACUAGGGACACAGAGGAGACCCUUGGAAACCCGCCGGCCACCUGUCGGCCACUGGUGUGCCUUGUCGGCCAUCGAUGGUGCCUUGCCGGCCAUCGAUAGCAGUUCGGGGCAAAGCUGUUUUUUCAUGCACGAGCCUUUAAAUACAAGCCUCGUUUCCUCACACCUUCUUGACCGAAAAUGCUCUCUCUCUCUCUCUGGGUGCUUUCCCUCUCUAGAUCUGAGCCUUUUACGCGUUUUCCAACGCCCCACACAAACUUUAUUCGCUAAAUCCUUCUAGUUCUCUUCGCUUUGAACCGAUUGGAAUUUGAUUUUGACGCUUCUUUCCUUAUUUCCACCAUUCUAGACUCAUUUCCCUUGAGUUUCUCUCGAAUUCUGUGCAUUUUUCCCGACUUUGAAUUUUUCCUUCAUUUUCUCUCUCUUAGGGUUGACUUUUCCAAGUUUACUCUUUUUUCUUCACUUUUCACCCAUCUUGCACCUAUUUUCAGAUGGCGGACGAUUUGCCUUAGGAUGGGACUCCUCCCAAGCUUCCCCCAGUAGACUUUGAGGUGAACAUCAAGGCCGAGCCAGAGCCGUUAUCGCUAAGUGUACGGCCUUUUGAUCCAGUGAGGUAUCAUCCUCAGACACAUAUUGUCCACUACCGAAGGCAUCAGAUGUGUUACUAAUUUCGCUGACGACGCGCCAGAGGGCCUCCUGUUGAGGGAGCCAGAGUCUCAUUUAUCGGCCAUUGCCAUUGAGGGUGAGUCUCGUGCCUUUAGGGGCUAUGGUGCGACGACUACUCGAGAUUGGUAUGACGAGUUCCCAGCUGGAGUUCGUGACAUUGUUGACGAUGUAGGCUUCGGCCUCUUCUACUCCAGCUUAACUUAGGUUACCAAGAGCCAUCAUCUCUUAGGAGCACUGGUGAAGAGAUGGUGGGACACCACCAACUCCUUCCACUUUUCCACCACAGGAGAGAUGACGAUGACUCCUUACAACUUUGCCAUGAUCACCGGCUUAGACGUAAGAGGUGAUCCGAUCCCUCUUGACCCAGAUAUGGAGGAGUAGGAGGUAACCUGGCUCGAGUUUCUUAGGGCACAUCCACAGAUAUACCGGACGGGCAUGAUGCGAUACACCUGGUUCAAGGAGUAGUUCAGGGGGACCGAGCCCGAGACGAUAGAGGAGAUAGAGCAGUAUGACAAGGGCUUCAUGAUGUUCAUCUUCGGUACCACUUUAUGUUCAAACAGGUGGGAUACCGUGGGCCUGUAUUUGCUGAGUGCCAUGGUGACUCUUCUUCGUGUUCAGUUUUAUUAUUGGGGCAAAACCGGCCUCACCACAUUAUACGGAUAUAUGAGUUCUUCCUCCCGUCUGCAAGGGAACUUGGUUAGAGACUAUUGGCGAGCCUGGGAGCUAUGGGUGUACGCAUACUUCCCGACUCUUGCCGCAGAGCCUGUAGAUGAGAUUCCAUUGACGGUCCCCUUUUCUCGAGUGUACGAUGGCCAGCUUCACCGUAGGACUCGUGAGCCCUUCAUGUUUUUUCGUCAGUACUUCGACACGGUAGCAGCGCACGAGAUCACAUGGCAGCCCUGGGCCACGAUACCAACAGAGCUUCA